AACGGCCGCGGUAUUUUGACCGUGCAAAGGUAGCGUAAUCACCUGUCUUUUAAAUAAAGACCUGUAUGAAUGGCAAGACGAGGGUUUUACUGUCUCCUCCCCCCAGUCAAUGAAAUUGAUCUACCCGUGCAGAAGCGGGUAUAAAAACAUAAGACGAGAAGACCCUAUGGAGCUUUAGGCACACAUCAAAUAUGUAAAAAACCAAAUCUUCCAAAUAGGCCUAAAAAAUGAGAAAAACAAGUAUUAAUGAUUAAUUGCCUUCGGUUGGGGCGACCACGGGGAAAAAUAAAACCCCCACAUGGAAUGGAUAAAAUUAUCCUAAGCCAAGAAAAACAAUUCUAAGCAACAAAAUUUUUGACCAAUAAAUGACCCAGGGACAAUAUCCCUGAGCAAUGAACCAAGUUACCCUAGGGAUAACAGCGCAAUCCUUUCCCAGAGCCCAUAUCAACGAAAGGGUUUACGACCUCGAUGUUGGAUCAGGGCAUCCUAACGGUGCAGCCGCUGUAAGGGU
Molecule: ribosomal RNA, 511 nt
Filed under: Conger myriaster (whitespotted conger)
Lineage: Eukaryota; Metazoa; Chordata; Actinopteri; Anguilliformes; Congridae
Description: partial 16S rRNA
Rfam family: Bacterial large subunit ribosomal RNA
Source: RNAcentral